GACGAACGCUGGCGGCGUGCUUAACACAUGCAAGUCGAACGGAAAGGCCCUGCUUUUGUGGGGUGCUCGCGUGGCGAACGGGUGAGUAACACGUGAGUAACCUGCCCUUGACUUUGGGAUAACUUCAGGAAACUGGGGCUAAUACCGGAUAGGAGCUCCUGCUGCAUGGUGGGGGUUGGAAAGUUUCGGCGGUUGGGGAUGGACUCGGGGCUUAUCAGCUUGUUGGUGGGGUAGUGGCUUACCAAGGCUUUGACGGAUAGCCGGCCUGAGAGGGUGACCGGCCACAUUGGGACUGAGAGACGGCGCAGACUCCUACGGGAGGCAGCAGUGGGGAAUAUUGCACAAUGGGCGGAAGCCUGAUGCAGCGACGCCGCGUGCGGGAUGACGGCCUUCGGGUUGUAAACCGCUGUCGCCUGUGACGAAGCGUGAGUGACGGUAAUGGGUAAAGAAGCACCGGCUAACUACGUG
Molecule: ribosomal RNA, 468 nt
Filed under: uncultured bacterium
Lineage: Bacteria
Description: partial 16S ribosomal RNA
Rfam family: Bacterial small subunit ribosomal RNA
Source: RNAcentral